Molecule: ribosomal RNA, 308 nt
Filed under: Escherichia coli
Lineage: Bacteria; Pseudomonadati; Pseudomonadota; Gammaproteobacteria; Enterobacterales; Enterobacteriaceae
Description: partial 16S ribosomal RNA
Rfam family: Bacterial small subunit ribosomal RNA
Source: RNAcentral
UUAAAUUGAAGAGUUUGAUCAUGGCUCAGAUUGAACGCUGGCGGCAGGCCUAACACAUGCAAGUCGAACGGUAACAGGAAGCAGCUUGCUGCUUUGCUGACGAGUGGCGGACGGGUGAGUAAUGUCUGGGAAACUGCCCGAUGGAGGGGGAUAACUACUGGAAACGGUAGCUAAUACCGCAUAACGUCGCAAGACCAAAGAGGGGGACCUUAGGGCCUCUUGCCAUCGGAUGUGCCCAGAUGGGAUUAGCUAGUAGGUGGGGUAACGGCUCACCUAGGCGACGAUCCCUAGCUGGUCUGAGAGGAUGA